UCACUAAUCAUAUGAAGAAUAUGAAUAAACUAGAAGAUAUGAAAUUUUAUAUCAGGAAGAUAAAUGCUGAGUGGGAAGAACUUUUUCGAAUCUUGGACAUUGACAUGAAUACUGAUUUGAACUAUAGGAUGAAUAUUGAAUUCACCAUCAUUAAAUCACAACAUGAGAAGACAAUGUUGGAUAUGGAGAAAAUGACGCAGUCCAUAAGUGAUACCAUUGAGAAGUACAAGGAAUUCAUAGAAGAUAAGGAUUCCUACAGCAUCAGGCACACCCACCUCCUGAAAGAAUGCAAUCAAUUGAAGAAAAAAAGUAAGGAUGUUGCUGAAUGAGAACAGAAAGCUGCUGGUAGAGCAGGCUGACCAGGAGGCAUCCUUUGGUGAAGAAAAGAGUUCUGUGAUGAGACCAGCAAGAACAUACAUCCCAAGUGCAAAGCAGCAGCAGCCUUGCACAGACAUGCUGUCCACCAUGGGCAUGUGGCCUCUAUUUCAGGAUCUAUCCAUGCAGGAGAGUUUGAAGUUUCAUCCCAACACUGGGGUCUGAGUAUCUCCUGUGAUCCCUGCCAGCAUCCACGAGGCAGGCAAGAGAAAGAGUGCUUUGUGAAGGCCCUGCAGCAGAAGACAGACACAGAAGUGGAACUUCACGAAGAAGCUUGAUCCCAGGGCCACUGGAGUCUUAGGACCAGUGGAUGGAGAGCCAUGAUAAUCCAGGUGCAGAGAUUGUGGGCAGACUUUGUAAUCCCUGAGGAGGGGAUACAAGGUGCAGCAACUUGGCUAGGUGGAGUUUCACUGCAGCUGCUCCUGGUUUGCUCUGGAGGGAGAGGAGGUCGGUCCCUCUAGCCUGGUGGCCAGUACAACUCUGGGAGUCCCUGAGGCAUGUAAGGCACCAAGUGCGCACCCCGGUUCCACUGUGCCAUGCCUACAGCUUGCAGCCAGCAUGGAGAAGGACAGCCCGAGUCACACUGAUCAGCAGUAUGAGUGCAUGGCAGAGAUUGGAGAAGUGCCUGCCUACAGGAAGGUGUUCAAGGACUGCAACCUGAAGAAUGGCAGCCCCUUCCUGACUCUGAAGCACUUGGGAGUGCAGACCAGUGAGGAGGGCAUGCGACUCUCCACCAUCCACGAGGUGGCAGUGCUGAGACACCUGGAGAAUUGGAGCACUGGAUCAUGGUCAGUUGAGCCAGGAGCACUGGCUAUGGGGUCCAGGAAGGUGCUGGGCAAGGGCGGCUGGUGGCCCAACUAAAGUUAAGAGUUGAGUUUCCCUAGAUAAAACCGGGGACCCUGCUAGACAGCGCAGAAAAAAGCUUCCCAGCAGCC
Long non-coding RNA from Mus musculus (house mouse), 1310 nucleotides. RefSeq annotates it as predicted gene 7152. The transcript is spliced from 6 exons. NCBI's taxonomy places the organism in Eukaryota, Metazoa, Chordata, Mammalia, Rodentia, Muridae. The record is from RefSeq and is a predicted model, not a curated record.